CAAAAGAUAAUUUAUUUAAAAUAUAAACUUUGGAAGUUUAAAAAAAACUUGUUUUCUUUUGA
Molecule: transfer RNA, 62 nt
Filed under: unidentified
Description: Spelaeomysis bottazzii tRNA-Pro
Source: RNAcentral